Pteronotus mesoamericanus is the source of this 107-nucleotide small nuclear RNA. Lineage: Eukaryota; Metazoa; Chordata; Mammalia; Chiroptera; Mormoopidae. The record is from RefSeq and is a predicted model, not a curated record.
GCGCUCGCUUUCGCAGCACCUGUACUCAAAUGGGGACGAUACCGAGGACAUUAGCAUGGCCCCUGCGCAAGGGUGACAAGCAAAUUUGUGAAGCGUUCCAUAAAAAA